UUUCGCGGAUGAAACUUUUUGUAGUGGGGGAGGAUGUAGUGUUCCUGAGCUUUGGAUAGGAUUGGCUUCAGUAUUAGUGACUGGUCGAUAUCUCUGGAGAGUGUCGGACUGAGUCGAAGUCAAUUCUGUGCGAAUUGGAUGCAGAAUUGGACUCGGUGCACUCAAAUAAGCAAAACUAAAGUUUUGCGAGAUCCGGGCGCCCAGAACAUGGUUUAGGUCGCCCAGAACUGAGUGUUAAAAUUUAACUGAAACUGGAGCCAAUUCGGAUCCUAUGUUCCGGGCGCCCAGAAGUGGGUCCGAAAAUUCUACAUCGUGAAUAUCGUUUGCUUCGACGCGUGGCAGGGUGGUAGGUGAGGUCCGCCGAAGCCGUUUACGGGCGCAGCACACCGCGAGCCGAGAAUCCGAGGAGGAUGAUUUGUGCAGCCUGGAUGUUUCAGUCGCCCAGAACAUGGUUCCGGGCGCCCAGAACAUGGUUCCGGGCGCCCAGAAAUGCCCAUUUCAGCAGGGACACCGGAUUGCAGCUGUUUCUCUUGGGGCUUAUUUUAUCCCUCCAGCACCCUAUAAAUACCUGGUAUACGUCCCCUUUGAGAUCUUUUUACCUGUUCUUCACAGAGAACUUAGAUUUUGCUCCUUAAUCCCUCCAAUCUUUCCAAAUUGCAUCAAGAUCCACAUCUCCAAGAGUUGCGAGGUACUGAUUCUGUAGUUUUCCCAGCGACGACCUUCAGUGUUUUGGCUUGUGCGCGACGUAGGGAUAUCGGAUUUUGACGAAACUUGGUUUGCUAGAUUCUAGACUUUCAGAGGAAUCCACGAAGCCCUGACUUGCAGAAUUUAGUGAAGGUUAGCUCAGUCGAACUCAGGUUUUCCUCUGCUGCUGUUGAUAUGGACAGAAUUGCAUGUUUUUGAGUUUUCUUGGGGUGAACUUUGGAAGCCGGGGCUUUGUGGAGUUGAGUCACAUCCCCUACCAACCAAUACUGGAAUUGGGACCAUCUUCACCUGAUUUGGAGAUUGUUAGGUGAGUUUUGACAUUGGAAUUGGAUAAAUCAUAAGCUUAAGUGCUGAAAUUGACGAAUUGUAAUGCAUUUUGGGUGAAUUGUAAUGUCCAGGUUUUGAGGGGAUUGUUGCUGGUUUGGAGGUGUUUCCAGCUGUGCUACUUGUGAUCCGAGACCAUGUUGCUGCCAGAGGAAUCGCGUUUGAGGUGGGUUUGCAUCGGAUUACUCCUAAGUAAUGAGUAGAUGUUUAGUCGACAUGUAUGUUUUGUUGUUCGGUCUACAAUGUGAUUAGAUUAAAUUCAGUGAUAAGUUGUAGCUGUAACCUGAAUUUAAGCAUACUAAAUAAGUGACAUUUACACAUGUCGGACUUGAAAAAUUGACUUAGGAGAAAACCUGCGUUUUGACCCGUCAUAUGCUUAAACUACCAGAUUUAGCUCUAGGAGCCGUGGGUUGUCUGUAUCGUUGUAGUAUCAGUGCGAUGGAUAUCUGGGGUAGUUUAGAAGGCAUUUACGCUCGUGCUGGGGUGCCGAGCUUAUUUUUCAGCAGAGUCUAGGCUGUUUCGGGUCGUUGGGUGCCGUCCGGGUUGGCGGUGGACCUAGAUUCUUGUUUUGGUUUCAGAUUGUGCCGAGGGCACGUGGGUUUGGUUUGUAGACCUGUUUUGACCCUAUUUACAUGACUUUGGCUAGUUGGAGCCUGAUUGAGCUCGACAGAGAAACGCUGCAUACUCGAUUGGGUAGCUCCCACAAGUGUCACUCCGGAGACGGGCGCUGUGCUUUCGCAUUGGUGUCGCUCAUGCCGAUUGGACUUGCUCUCCACGAACUAGUAGUGUGGAGGUAGCUGGACAGUCACAACUGGCCAGGGACGGGUGUGUUCACAGUCCAAGGGACGGGUAUGCUUACAGUCUCGAUUGGAUUGAGUCAGAUUUGACAUUUCCUACAGUUGGUUAGUGUAGAGCAUGAUAGUGUAGUGAUCCAUAGCUGUAGAUUUCAUUCCUGCAUUUACUGCUAUCUUUGCUCCCUUCUGUAGACUUAGUGGGUGGACCGAUAUUGUUGAGGGCGGCACCCACUGAGGACUACCUGUUUUUACAGUAGUUCUCACGCCCUGUUAUUACCCCCUGUUUUUGCAGAGCCACCAUCGUCGGCUGCUGCUGUCGCAGAUCAGGAUCGAGGCAAGGGCGUCACGAGUUAGAGCCCUACCAGACGUGCCGAGCUAGAGGUACCCUUACUGCAGGUAGAUGUUUUGCUUUGAGUUCAUGUACAUAGUAUGCUUAACUCGCCAGUGCGAGUAGCUCUGUAUUUUCAGUAUUGAACUAUGUAUAUGGAACUCUGUUUGUUUAGCUUCUGUUUACUCUAGCAGCUCUAUACUACUGUUUGUAGUAUUUUAUGGGUUACAGGAACUGCUAUCGCUUCGUAUACAGGGAAAAUUCCUUUGUAUACGGCGGAUUUGUUGGCGUGCCCGGAGAACGUGUAAUCCAGGGCGUGACAGGUGAGGUCCGCCGGAGCCGUUUACGGGCACAGCACACCGCGGGCGGAGGAAUCGAAGGGGAGCAUUUGUGCAGGCUGGAAGUUCUGGGCGCCCAGAACUUGGUUUAGGGCGCCCAGAUCUCGGAUUUUCUGCAGGGAUAGCAGGUUUCAACAAUUGUUCCUGAGGGUUAUCUGACCACUCCAGCACCCUAUAAAUACCUGGUGUACAUCCCCUUUGAGCUCUUUUCACCUGCCCUUCACAGAGAACCCUGAAUUUGCUCUUCAAUCCCUCAAAUAUUCUUAAUUUGCAUCAAGAUCCACAACUCCAAGAUUUGCAAGGUGCUGAUUCUGCAGUUUUUCCAGCGACGACCUUCAGUGUUUUGGCUCGUGCGCGACGUAGGGAAGUCGGAUUGCGACGAAACUUGGUUUGUUGGAUUCUAGACUUCCAGAGGAAUCCAGGAAGCCUUGAAUUGCGGAUUUUGGUUAAGGUUAGCUCAGUCAAUUUCUCAGGUUUCUGGACUGUUGUGGUUUUGGACCUGAUUUUUGGAUUUCUUGAAUUUUCUUGAUACGAUCGUUGGAAACAGGGGGAUUUUGGACCUGAGACUCAUACUCCAUCACUACUCACUGCUUUUGGAACUCCACCUCAACUGAUUUGGAGUCGGAUGGUAAUGUUAGCAUUACAAGUGGAUAAUUUAGCUUAAGUGCUGAAAUUUUAGUUGUAUUGAUGGAUUUUGGAUCUUGUUAAAGUCUAGAGUUUGGAGAACUCUUGUUACUGUCUUGGAGGAGCUUCGGUUGAUCCAGCAGAGGAAGUCCUUGUGGUUCGAGACCUCCUUGCUGUCAGGAAGUGCUUUAGAGAUGGGUUACAUCGGUUUAUUCCAAAGCACAGUAUUAGUCGACAUGCAUGAUUUCCAGUUUUUGUAAAUCAUAUUGUAGCUCAAUUUCGUUGAUUGUAUCAUGGAUGAAAUCAGUAUUGAGGACAUGAUUAGUAAACCAUAAAUAUACAUGUUCGACUUGGAUUUGACUUAGGAGAAAACCGCGAGUAUAACCUGUCAUAUGCUUAAACUACCUGAUUUAGCUCUAGGAGCAGUUGUAAUUUUGUAUCGUUGCAGUAUCGAUAUGACGGAUACCCCAGGUAGUUUAGAGUUCAGUUACGCUCGUGCUGGGAUGCCGAGUGUAUUUUUACAGUAGCAUUAAGGCUGUUCCGGACUGUUGGGUGCUGUCGAAGUUGACGGUGGACCCAUAUCGCCUUUUUGGCGUCGGAUUGUGCCGAAGGCACGUGACCUGUUGGUUGUUAGACCAGUUAGAGUCGGUUACUUGGACUUUGGCUUGAGAGAGCCUGAUUGAGCUCGACAGAGAUACGUUCCAUACUCAAUUGGGUAGCUCCCACGAGUGCCACUCCGGAGACGGGCGCUGUGCUUUCGCAUUGAUGUCGUGCAUGCCGGUUAGACUUGCUCUCCACGGACUGGAUAGUGUGGAGGUAGCUGGAUAGUCCCAACUGGGUGGGGCUGGUGUGUUCACAGUCCCUGGGACGGGUAUAUUUACAGUCCCUAAAGAGAUUAGGUCAGAUUUGACAUUACUAC
RNAcentral lists this long non-coding RNA (4032 nucleotides) under Ananas comosus (pineapple). RNAcentral describes it as "long non-coding RNA (ACOM_LNC020819)". The record is from RNAcentral. Lineage: Eukaryota; Viridiplantae; Streptophyta; Magnoliopsida; Poales; Bromeliaceae.